This 401-nucleotide ribosomal RNA is filed under the name uncultured Colpodellidae. RNAcentral describes it as "partial small subunit ribosomal RNA". It matches the Rfam family "Eukaryotic small subunit ribosomal RNA", at positions 30 to 432 of the family's 1831-position model. The record is from RNAcentral. Lineage: Eukaryota; Colpodellaceae.
GCUUGUCUCAAAGAUUAAGCCAUGCAUGUCUUAGUGUAAAUAACUCUUAUGAAACUGCGAAUGGCUCAUUAAAUCAGUUAUCAAAUACGUGAUGGUCGCCUACUACAUGGAUAACCGUAGUAAUUCUAGAGCUAAUACAUGCGUCAAGACCUGACUUUUCGGAAGGGUUGUGUUUAUUAGAUAAAAAGCCAAUCCAUGCUCUGCAUGGUAUUGUGGUGACUCAUAAUAACCGAUCGAAUCGCAUGGCGUAAGCCGGCGAUAAAUCAUUCAAGUUUCUGACCUAUCAGCUUCCGACGGUAGGGUAUUGGCCUACCGUGGCUAUGACGGGUAACGGGGAAUUAGGGUUCGAUUCCGGAGAGGGAGCCUGAGAAACGGCUACCACAUCUAAGGAAGGCAGCAGG